RNAcentral lists this ribosomal RNA (483 nucleotides) under uncultured bacterium. RNAcentral's name for it is "partial 16S ribosomal RNA". It matches the Rfam family "Bacterial small subunit ribosomal RNA", at positions 30 to 507 of the family's 1533-position model. The record is from RNAcentral.
AUUGAACGCUGGCGGCAGGCCUAACACAUGCAAGUCGAGCGGAUGAAGGGAGCUUUCUCCUGGAUUCAGCGGCGGACGGGUGAGUAAUGCCUAGGAAUCUGCCUGGUAGUGGGGGAUAACGUCCGGCAACGGGCCCUAAUACCUCAUACGUCCUGUGGUUAACGUGGGGGAUCUUCGGUCCUCACGCUAUCUGAUGACCCUAGGUCGUAUUAGCUAGUUGGUAGGGUAAAGGCCUACCAAGGCGACGAUCCGUAACUGGUCUGAGAGGAUGAUCAGUCACACUGGAACUGAGACACGGUCCAGACUCCUACGGGAGGCAGCAGUGGGGAAUAUUGGACAAAGGGCGAAAGCCUGAUGCAGCAAUGCCGCGUGAGUGAAGAAGGUCUUCGGAUUGUAAAGCACUGUAAGUAGGGAGGAAGGGCAGUAAGUUAAAACCUUGCUGUUUUGACGUUACCAACAGAAAAAGCAACGGCUAACUUCGUG